Molecule: long non-coding RNA, 204 nt
Filed under: Gossypium raimondii (Peruvian cotton)
Lineage: Eukaryota; Viridiplantae; Streptophyta; Magnoliopsida; Malvales; Malvaceae
Description: long non-coding RNA (GRAI_LNC008611)
Source: RNAcentral
UUCAAUCCGAAAGGCAAGAAGAGAAUUCUCAGCAAUGGAGUAAAGAUGUGAUGCAAAAGAAUAGGAGAAGAGGAGAAAAAUAAGAUGAUAAAGAAAGGGAUUGAGAGAAAAUUCUAAUUGUAUUGGGAAAGGAAUUAAAAUUUUAGGGUAAUUAGGAAAACAAUGAUUAAAUACCUAGGGUUUUCAAAUUACCCCUUGGCUGCC